CUUCAUGCACAUGUGGGAGAAAGUAGUCCACACAUGAAACAGAUUGGGACUAGUUCGUGAAUGGGAUGACUCGACCUGCACACACAUUAGACUAAAUUAAUAUAGAAAAUUAAAUCAAACUUGAAUUACCUCUAAUAAUUUAUUAAAAUGCAAUGACGAGGGGAAACACAUUUUCUUCUGUUAAUAUUUAAAAUAUGUGCAUAACAAU
Molecule: long non-coding RNA, 208 nt
Filed under: Phoenix dactylifera (date palm)
Lineage: Eukaryota; Viridiplantae; Streptophyta; Magnoliopsida; Arecales; Arecaceae
Description: long non-coding RNA (PDAC_LNC003734)
Source: RNAcentral